This is a long non-coding RNA of Cyprinus carpio carpio, 575 nucleotides long. The record is from Ensembl. Lineage: Eukaryota; Metazoa; Chordata; Actinopteri; Cypriniformes; Cyprinidae.
CCCCCAACUGCUUUCUUAUUGGACGCAGAGAUGGCUCCUUGCCCCAGGUGGUGUACCAAGACUCUGGAGUGCUAAGUCGAUGCCGCUGGAGACACAGCCAACUGUUGGCCGACCACAUGUGGAGGCAUUUUAUUAAGUACUAUCUGCCCAGUCUCCAAGUUCGACAGAAGUGAAAGUCGGAAAAGAGAAAUCUACAAAUUGGUGAUGUAGUGAUGAUUGUAGACUCUCAGCUCCCUCGAGCUUUGUGGCCAGUGGGGAAAAUCUCAGAAGUGCACCCGGGAGCAGAUAACAGAGUCAGGUCAGCCACUGUGCAAGUUGAGAGAAGAACGUAUACUCGACCCGUAGCUCGCCUUGUCAAGCUACCAGUCGUAUCUGAUAAAGAGUAAUCCACGUGACGAAUAAGUCCCUUUUGUCAAGAUGUACAAAUUCAAUCAUUGAAUUCGGGGGCGGCUGUUCAAAAGGCUUCUUAGACUUUCUUCCAGUGACCAAUGAACAUUUGCAACGUCACCAUCAUGUGUAUCACGUGCCAUGAGGAAGUGGAGCAGGUGCGCUGAGCAGACAUGCAGAUCGCAAAC